GAUCCAGACGAUCAGUUUGCCUAUGAUUCUGACCCCUUCGGCAGCGGCGAGAUUUCAACCUGGAAACAGUGCUCUCUCUUCGGCGGCGAGACUGCUUGGGCGGCGGCGACGAUGGAAGGGUUUCGUUCUCUUCUCUUCGAUCAAAAAAAGUAUCAGUUCGAUUCUUGAGAUCUGAGCAAGACAAGGAGCCAGAGCAAGUAACUGUGUCUGAAGUUGUGGGCUCUGGCCCUUCUGAAGAAUGUGUUACAGAUACUCCUCAGGAAAUUAAUGAGUAUGAACUUGUUGAUCCUGUUGAUAUAUUGACUCUUUUAGAGAAGACAGGAUUUUAGGAUGGAGUGGUAAGUCCUCUCAAUCUUUUUUUCAUGUUAUUCACUGACUUUUAACUUUGUGCUUCUAGUUUGUAAUUGUGCUCUCUGAUUAAUGUGAGGAAAAUCCAAUUUAUUAGCUUUCCUCUUUAACUAUGUGAAGCUUAAACCAGGUGAAGCAUUGUAUCUAGGGGCAAAUGAAGUCCAUGUAGGCUA
This is a non-coding RNA of Camellia sinensis, 521 nucleotides long. The record is from RefSeq and is a predicted model, not a curated record. Lineage: Eukaryota; Viridiplantae; Streptophyta; Magnoliopsida; Ericales; Theaceae.